AGUGAACGCUGGCGGCAGGCCUAAUACAUGCAAGUCGAACGGCAGCACAGCAGAGCUUGCUCUGUGGGUGGCGAGUGGCGGACGGGUGAGGAAUACAUGGGAAUCUGCCCAGUCGUGGGGGAUAACGUAGGGAAACUUACGCUAAUACCGCAUGCGCCCUUCGGGGGAAAGCCGGGGACCUUCGGGCCUGGCGCGAUUGGAUGAGCCCAUGUCGGAUUAGCUAGUUGGCGGGGUAAUGGCCCACCAAGGCGACGAUCCGUAGCUGGUCUGAGAGGAUGAUCAGCCACACUGGAACUGAGACACGGUCCAGACUCCUACGGGAGGCAGCAGUAGGGAAUAUUGGACAAUGGGCGCAAGCCUGAUCCAGCCAUGCCGCGUGAGUGAAGAAGGCCCUCGGGUUGUAAAGCUCUUUUGUCCGGAAAGAAAGCGCCGGGUUAAUACCCUAGUGUCCUGACGGUACCGGAAGAAUAAGCACCGGCUAACUUCGUGCCAGCAGCCG
This 499-nucleotide ribosomal RNA is filed under the name uncultured bacterium. RNAcentral's name for it is "bacterial SSU rRNA". It matches the Rfam family "Bacterial small subunit ribosomal RNA", at positions 29 to 517 of the family's 1533-position model. The record is from RNAcentral.